This 523-nucleotide ribosomal RNA is filed under the name uncultured bacterium. RNAcentral's name for it is "bacterial SSU rRNA". It matches the Rfam family "Bacterial small subunit ribosomal RNA", at positions 984 to 1509 of the family's 1533-position model. The record is from RNAcentral.
ACAUCCAGAGAACUUAGCAGAGAUGCUUUGGUGCCUUCGGGAACUCUGAGACAGGUGCUGCAUGGCUGUCGUCAGCUCGUGUUGUGAAAUGUUGGUAAGUCCCGNAACGAGCGCAACCCUUAUCCUUUGUUGCCAGCGGUUCGGCCGGGAACUCAAAGGAGACUGCCGGUGAUAAACCGGAGGAAGGUGGGGAUGACGUCAAGUCAUCAUGGCCCUUACGGCCAGGGCUACACACGUGCUACAAUGGCGCAUACAAAGAGAAGCGACCUCGCGAGAGCAAGCGGACCUCAUAAAGUGCGUCGUAGUCCGGAUUGGAGUCUGCAACUCGACUCCAUGAAGUCGGAAUCGCUAGUAAUCGUAGAUCAGAAUGCUACGGUGAAUACGUUCCCGGGCCUUGUACACACCGCCCGUCACACCAUGGGAGUGGGUUGCAAAAGAAGUAGGUAGCUUAACCUUCGGGAGGGCGCUUACCACUUUGUGAUUCAUGACUGGGGUGAAGUCGUAACAAGGUAAGCGUAGCGAG